Molecule: long non-coding RNA, 1054 nt
Organism: Equus caballus (horse)
Lineage: Eukaryota; Metazoa; Chordata; Mammalia; Perissodactyla; Equidae
Source: Ensembl
AGAUGGAAAACAGGAAAAUAAUCCCUUCCAUAGGCAAGUUAAGGAGUCCGUUUGGAAGUGUGCUGAGUUAUCAGGACCUGUGUGACCUACAAGUGGAGAUAAGACAUAUGAGUUUGAAGUGGGUGAGGGGCCUGGGCAAGACUGGCAGAUUUUAGGAUGAUUCAUUAGUUCCCAGCGUGCAGCUAUCUGAGAAAAUUAUGGAGGUGCAGGGAUGACAGAGGAAGGAACCCCCCCAGCAUCGGAGAGGGUAGUGUUUCUGUGGUGUUAUUAUAAUGUUAACGUCAGUUCUAAUAAGUGCCCAGACCUGUGAGGUUUCUCUACAUGCGUGUGAGGUGAGGCUUCACAAGCGCAAUACAGAUUGUGGGUUGGACAUUUCUGGGCUGGUCUAGUACCUUGGGACCAACGUUAACGUGGAAUUGUAGAGGCAGGGUCAACAUGAAGCAGCAUUACAAUGAGAGAGAACAGGGUACAAUUCCAGGUAAGAAGCGCUGAUGAAGACCAAGACUCUUAUGAGUUUGCAAGAGAAGUCCUUUCCAUGUGAAUCCCGUCAUGUUGAGGUUUCCACCUUUGCCUCACACACCAAAGAGUCCUGGUUUAAAACUUGGUGGGAACACUCAUGACAUUCUUUUCUGAAUGCUCAACUUUCCAGCAUCCCCACUCUUUACAUUUCAAUCUUUCACCCUUUCCAUCCCAUCUGCCAAUACACAAAUGUUGAUGGAAGGUGCAAUGCAAGGAAUGCUGAAGUGGAUAGAACCCAGCUUCAACACACAAGGUGAUUGAUUAGGAGAGAGCACCCGGGAAAACUUCUGUCAGAGUCUAAGAGCUGCUCAAAAGAACCGUAAGGCGAGGCCAGGAAGGUUCAAAUGAGGAGCAGUCAUUGGUGAUGGGAAGUCAUGGACCAGCUCAUCUCAUAGUAUUAGAAGAAAAACGUCUUGAGUUCUCAGCAUGGGAAGUACUCAACUCGUCUUUGAUUCGCUCACAUGACUCAAAGCCCGGUUCAUGUAACAGCAGUAUAGACAUCACCUGAGAGCUUGUAGAAAUGCAGAAUCCUGGU